This 65-nucleotide transfer RNA is filed under the name Tonicia forbesii. RNAcentral describes it as "tRNA-Thr". It matches the Rfam family "tRNA". From Rfam's summary of the family: Transfer RNA (tRNA) molecules are approximately 80 nucleotides in length. Their secondary structure includes four short double-helical elements and three loops (D, anti-codon, and T loops). Further hydrogen bonds mediate the characteristic L-shaped molecular structure. tRNAs have two regions of fundamental functional importance: the anti-codon, which is responsible for specific mRNA codon recognition, and the 3' end, to which the tRNAs corresponding amino acid is attached (by aminoacyl-tRNA synthetases). tRNAs cope with the degeneracy of the genetic code in two manners: having more than one tRNA (with a specific anti-codon) for a particular amino acid; and 'wobble' base-pairing, i.e. permitting non-standard base-pairing at the 3rd anti-codon position. Lineage: Eukaryota; Metazoa; Mollusca; Polyplacophora; Chitonida; Chitonidae. The record is from RNAcentral.
GUUAGAAAAGCUUUUAAAAGCAUUGGUCUUGUAAACCAAAGAUUGAAUGAAUUAUUCUUCUAAUA